CCACACCGACCCCAUGGUGUUAGAGCAGCUCACCAGGGAUAAACCCUCACAGACCCCAUGGUGUUAGAGCAGCUCACCAGGGAUGAACCUCACAGACCCCAUGGUGUUAGAGCAGCUCACCAGGGAUAAACCACACAGACCCCAUGGUGUCAGAGAAGCUCACCAGGGAUAAACCACACAGACCCCAUGGUGUCAGAGCAGCUCACCAGGGAUAAACCACACAGACCCCAUGGUGUUAGAGCAGCUCACCAGGGAUAAACCACACAGACCCCAUGGUGUUAGAGCAGCUCACCAGGGAUAAACCACACAGACCCCAUGGUGUUAGAGCAGCUCACCAGGCCUAAUCCACACAGAAUGGCAGUGUUUGAAUAGAAAGACUGGAAACCUGUAGGAGGGGGCGAGGCUUCGUCAUAUAGGUUUAUUUCAUUGGUUUAAACGACUCAAGACCCCGCCUUGAUAUUAAAAAAAAGAGUGAGGGAGGGAGACAGUGACAGAGGAGGAGAGAGGAAACAAGAUCAACCAGUGAAACAGUAAGAUAGUCACCUAUUAAUCGGAGUGAUUUUUCGACCGUGCUUUUUGGACAGGAGCACAACACAUACCAUUCAAACCUGUAGGCUCCUUUCCCUAAUCAUGUGUCUCUAUAUAGGCGCCUACACCGGAAACAGCUGCCUAUCCUAUUAUUCCUAGCACUUGGAUAACUAAGUUUUUGGCAUUUAAAGGUGGAUCAGUGUAAUAGCCUACACGAAAUCUGUAGGGGAAAAACAUUUUUCACAACAAGCGGCUGGAUGAUGCUGCUCAUGUGUGUGUAAAAGUCUGCAUUUUCUUCUGAACUUGCGAUAAACGUCAGCUAUUCAGGUAAGAUUUUUAUAAUACAUAUAUUAGAACUAUCACGUUUGACUUAUAAUAAUCUAUACUAGUGUACAAUUGGUUGCAAUAAACGGGCUAUUUUGAUGUCCGCAUAAACUGUGACCAUUUGUGUUGUGUUCACCUCACUGCGCAACUAAGGAAUGGAAAUGGUCGAGUGAAUUGUAUGCUGAGGACAUAUUUUUGACGGACCACGGCGCAAAGCCAUACCUAGUCCUACUGUUAAAAUAUGUAGCCGAAACCUGAAGAUUUACCUCGUAUUUCACUGCCUCUCGUUCAUCUUCUUUCGACUACUGUAGCCUAUCAAGCCAUGUGGCGAUAACGGUGGACAGAGAGACAAGUGGUUUUUGUUUAACAAAAUGGGAAGUGCGUUUUUAUAUUGGUUUAUAGGAAGUUUCCCCGUUUCAACUGGAAGGCUGUAUGUUGAGUUGCUGAUGUGUACCCGGGUCGGGAAUCAGAUUAUGUUCCCGAGUUGUUGUCAUUUUAUACUGAGUGACAUCGUUUAUUGCGGUGGUCAGUGAAAGAUGGAAUGUAUCAAACCACAUCCGAUUUGGUAUCUUUUCUGCAGCACUACCGCAAGCAUUCUGAAAUCUUUUACAUCUGUGAUUACAAUACAGCACAUCUACUGUUGGGAAGCUUUACCAGACAACCAGGCGUGCUUGACGCCCUACAAACCGAAGGCAACGACCUUUAGCCAGUUUACCUCUUCCGCUUUUGAAGAAUUAACGAGAAAACUGCUUUUAUUCAUAGAUCGUCAUUUUGACAGAUGGCUUCUUUUUCUGUUGUUGUUGUUGGUGAACUUUGAGUAGAUAGUGUAUUUGAUAGAAAAACAUUAUGCAGCUAGUGAUUGUUUGUUUUACCCGAGACAGCAUCAUCAAUAUAUUACAUAUUAUCAAUGAACUGUAGGAGAUACUACUGCUGCUGCUUCGCAGUAGGAGAAAGUCACAACCAACGUCUUUGGAAGUUAUGUGAGUUGAGGAGCUCCCCAGAGAUCUAACCUGUAGUGCCCACAUGUUGAAAAGACCCCCCAUUUCAUAGUGUGGGUGAAUUCCAGUCACAUUCAGGCUUUACAUUACUGGGACCAAUCACAUUCAGGCUUUACAUUACUGGGACCAAUCACAUUCAGGCUUUACAUGACUGGGACCAAUCACAUUCAGGCUUUACAUUACUGGGACCAAUCACAUUCAGGCUUUACAUUACUGGGACCAAUCACAUUCAGGCUUCACAUUACUGGGACCAAUCACAUUCAGGCUUCACAUUACUGGGACCAAUCACAUUCAGGCUUCACAUUACUGGGACCAAUCACAGUCAGGCUUCACAUUACUGGGACCAAUCACAUUCAGGCUUCACAUUACUGGGACCAAUCACUGCCAUGAACUCAAACAAGACACUUUAUUAUAGCUUUUAUCAGUGGUGCUCCACCUCUCAAUGAGUUAGAGAGCUUGUUUAUGCAGCUGGUUUGAUUUAAGAUAGAGCCUAGUUAAUUAGUCCUUAAUUAACCACAUGAGGACACAGCCUGGAGUAUGGAGACAGUAAAGUAGUUAAUUAGUCCUUCACAUGAACAGCCUGGAGUAUAGAGACAGAGUAAUAGACUGGUAGUGUGGGUCUUUACAGCAUGUCAUUGAUGAAUGUAUGACAGAUGAAUGGAGGACAUCCUUAGAAUGAGUCUCGUUGUGUCCCUACCAGAGGGAGAGAAAGGGCUGGAGGAGGGUACACCCAGACUGACACACCGCAGAUCGCAUGCAAACACACACUCCCCUUGUCUUGCCUGCAGGAAUAAGGACACAAGAUGUGUGUAGCCAGGACAUCUGCUCUCUCUUUGGCCAUUGUCAAGGAAACAUGAAGUUGGUAGUGGAAGGGACUGCCAGAGGGACCAACAGCUCACGACAACAAAAGAGGCCUUGUCAGAAACCACCAUUAAGCUGGGUCAGUUCAGUCACAAGUACUGCUAGCUGCAGGAAGGACUCGGGAUCACGCGCUCACCGGCUUAUAACGUCCUCAGAGUAUUAUUUCAGCUAGUCCUCUCUAGCCUUGUCAGGUAGAGUCACCAUCACACUAUUCACAGAAGAGAAAGGAGAAAUUCAAGUUGCUUUGGUUCAUAAUUUUUCUUCAGUGUUUUCAGACUCUAGUGGUUAGUGGGUAUAGUGUGCCUAUCAGGUUUCAGGUAAGACCCAAGUGCAGACUGUGUUGAGGUAACAAUGUUUAUUGCAACGACAGGUCAAGGCAGGCAAACGACAGGUCAAGGCAGGCAAACGACAGGUCAAGGCAGGCAAACGACAGGUCAAGGCAGGCAAACGACAGGUCAAGGCAGGCAAACGACAGGUCAAGGCAGGCAGGGGUCGAUAAUCCAGAGCAGGGGCCAAGGUACAGGACGGCAGGUAGGCCCAGGGACAAGCAGAGGUCAGCAGUCCAGAGCAGGGGCCAAGGUACAGGACGGCAGGCAGGCUCAGGUCAAGCAGAGGUCAACAGUCCAGAGCAGGGGCCAAGGUACAGGACGGCAGGCAGGCUCAGGUCAAGCAGAGGUCAACAGUCCAGAGCAGGGGCCAAGGUACAGGACGGCAGGCAGGCUCAGGUCAAGCAGAGGUCAGCAGUCCAGAGCAGGGGCCAAGGUACAGGACGGCAGGCAGGCUCAGGACAGGCAAGGGUCAAAACCAGGAGGACGAGGGAAAAAGAGAGACUGAGGAAAAGCGCUGGUUGACUUAAACAAACAAGACGAACUGGCACAGAUAGACAGAAAACACAGGUAUAAAUACACAGGGGAUAAGUGGGUAAGAUGGGUGACACCUGGAGGGGGAUGGAGACAAGCACAAAGACAGGUGAAACAGAUCAGGGUGUGACAGUAUCCUUACUCCCUUAGAGUUAAUUAGUCCUCUCUCUCUAGCCUUGUCAGGUACAGUCAUACUCCAAACUGUUCACUGAAGAGAAUUUAAACUGUUUCAUCUCUUUUCAGUUAUUUUUGGAUUAGUGUGGCUAGUGAGUUUACACUGAGUGUACAAAACAUUAGGAACACCUGCUCUUUCAAUGAGACUGACCAGGUUAAAGAUAUGAUCCCUUAUUGAUGUCACUUGUUAAAUCCACUUCAAUCAGUGUAGAUGAAGGGGAGGAGACGGGUUAAAGAAGGAUUUUUAAGCCUUGAGACGUGAGACAUGGAUUGUGUAUGUGUGCCAUUCAGAGGGUGAAUGGGAAAGACCAAAUAUUUAAGUGCCUUUGAACAGGGUAUGGUAGUAGGUGUCAGGUGCACCAGUUUGUGUCAAGAACUGCAACACUGCUGGGUUUUUCACGCUCAACAGUUUCAAUCAAUCAAUCAAUCAAUCAAUCAAAUGUAUUUAUAGAGCCCUUUUUACAACAGCAGUUGUCACAAAGUGCUUAUACAGAAACAGGCAUAAAACCCCAGAGAGCAACCAAUGCAGGUGUAGAAGCACGGUGGCUAGGAAAAACUCCCUAGAAAGGCUGGAACCUAAGAAGAAACCUAGAGAGGAACCAGGCUCUGAGGGGGUGGCCAGUCCUCUUCUGGCUGUGCCGGGUGGAGAUUAUAACAGAACAUGGCCAUUUAAGGCCAGAUUGUUCUUCAAGAUUUUCAAACGUUCAUAGAAGACCAGCAGGGUCAAAUAAUAAUCAGUGAUUUUAGAGGGUGCGAGAGGUCAGCACCUUAGGAGUUAAUGUCAGUUGGCUUUUCAUAGCCGAGCAUCCAGAGGCCGAGACAGCAUGUGCAGGGGGGGGUCUAGUGAACAGGUCAGGGUUCCAUAGCCGCAGGCAGAACAGUAGAAAAUGGAGCAGCAGCACGACCAGGUGGACUAGGGACGGGGACAGCCAGGAGUCGUCAUGCCAGGAAGUCCUGAGGCAUGUUCCUAAGGCUCAGGUCCUCCGGGAGGGGAGAGAGAGAGAUGGGAGAAUUAGAGAGAGCAUACUUGCGUUCAUACAGGACACCAGAGAUUUACACCAGAAAAGACAGAAGAUUUACACCGGAUAAGACAGGAGAUUUACACCAGUUAUGAGACUGAACCUAGCCCCCCCCCCCAGCACAUAGACUAUUGCAGCAUAGAUACUGGAGACUGUAUCAAGAAUGGUCCACCACCCAAAGGACAUCCAGCCAUGUUGACAUGACUGUGGGAAGCAAUGGAGUGAACAUGGGCCAUCAUCCUUGUGGAACGCCUUCGACACCUUGUAGAAUUGAGGCUGUUCUGAGGGCAAAAGGGGGGUGCAACUCAAUAUUAGGAAGGUGUUCCUAAUGUUUUGUACACUGUUGUCAUCAUUCGAAAGACUUGCUUUCCACCCACAUGAGAUACCAUAUUUCUGUCAAUAUCCCAUUUUCUCUCUCAUAUUUUCUACUGCAUUACAGUACAGUCCAUGUUACAGUACAGUCCAUGUUACAGUACAGUACAGUCCAUGUUACAGUCCAUGUUACAGUACAGUCCAUGUUACAGUCCAUGUUACAGUUCAUUACAUGUUACAGUCCAUGUUACACCACAGUCCAUGUUACAGUCCAUGUUACACUACAGUCCAUGUUACACUACAGUCCAUGUUACACUUCAGUCCAUGUUACAGUACAGUCCAUGUUACAGUCCAUGUUACACUACAGUCCAUGUUACAGUAUAGUCCAUGUUACAGCCCAUGUUACACUACAGUCCAUGUUACAGUCCAUGUUACAGUACAGUCCAUGUUACACUACAGUCCAUGUUACAGUCCAUGUUACACUACAGUCCAUGUUACAGUCCAUGUUACACUACAGUCCAUGUUACACUUCAGUCCAUGUUACAGUACAGUCCAUGUUACAGUCCAUGUUACACUACAGUCCAUGUUACACUACAGUCCAUAUUACACUACAGUCCAUGUUACACUACAGUCCAUGUUACACUACAGUCCAUGUUACAGUCCAUGUUACACUACAGUCCAUGUUACACUUCAGUCCAUGUUACAGUACAGUCCAUGUUACAGUCCAUGUUACACUACAGUCCAUGUUACACUACAGUCCAUGUUACACUACAGUCCAUGUUACAGUCCAUGUUACAGUCCAUGUUACACUACAGUCCAUGUUACACUACAGUCCAUGUUACACUACAGUCCAUGUUACAGUCCAUGUUACAGUAUAUAAUAACAGUCACAGCAGACUCUGGCAACAUCCCAAAUGGCGCCUUAUUCCCUAUAUAGUGCACUACCUUUGAUCAGAGCCCUACACUACAUAGGGAAUAGGGUGCUAUUUGGGACGCGACAUCUCUUACUCUAUGGGUGAAUAACAGUCUCCGUUAAGCCCUGCGUUAAAAUGUUCUCAUGUUGAGGACCACUAUGGUGGAUUUAUAGGUGAUGGUUCUCCUGUUGAGGACCACUAUGGUGGAUUUAUUGAUGAUGGUUGAGGACCACUAUGGUGGAUUUAUAGGUGAUGGUUGAGGACCACUAUGGUGGAUUUAUAGGUUAUGGUUCUGUUGAGGACCACUAUGGUGGAUUUAUAGGUGAUGGUUGAGGACCACUAUGGUGGAUUUAUAGGUGAUGGUUCUCCUGUUGAGGACCACUAUGGUGGAUUUAUAGGUGAUGGUUCUCCUGUUGAGGACCACUAUGGUGGAUGUAUAGGUGAUAGUUGAGGACCACUAUGGGGGAUGUAUAGGUGAUGGUUGAGGACCACUAUGGUGGAUUUAUAGGUGAUGGUUCUCCUGUUGAGGACCACUAUGGUGGAUUUAUAGGUGAUGGUUCUCCUGUUGAGGACUACUAUGGUGGAUGUAUAGGUGAUGGUUCUCCUGUAUACAUUAGAUAUCUGAUGCCUAUACUGUACCAUUCUGCCCUCCAUGGAACUAAUCAUACGUUAGUAGUGUACGUCCCUGCUGGCACUGAUCAGUGCUGGUUGGUUUCCCCCUCUAGUUAAAAUGGAGGCUGUGUGUUAACGCCUAGAGGGGAUAGUCCAGAAGCACUAGUGUUUUCUGACUGAACAGAGAGGAAAUAGAUCCUCCCUCUAGCUCAGCCCGUCUGAGUCGUCUUUUGGUUUUGUUUUCCUGUUUGAUAAGUGAAAGGACCGGGUCAGAAUCAGGAAUGUUAAGAAAGAGGACAUUUGACGGUAGUGGUGCUAUCGGGGCAGCUCCACUGUAUAGUACAAAUAGUUAAUGAAUGGCUCCCUGUGUUUCUUUUGGGUCAAUUUGAAUAUGUGCUUUUAAUUGGUCUCUGUAGGUCUCUGUCUUCUCUCUCUCUCUCUCUCUCUCUCUCUCUCUCUCUCUCUCUCUCUCUCUCUCUCUCUCUCUCUCUCUGUCUCUGUCUCUGUCUCUGUGUCUGUGUCUCUCUCUCUGUCUUCUUUCUUUCUCCUUGUCUCUUCCCUCUCUCUCUCUCUCUCUCUCUCUCUCACCAUGACUGACUAGCUUCUCUUUCACUCACUCACUCACUCACUCACUCACUCACUCACUCACUCACUCACUCACUCACUCACUCACUCACUCACUCACUCACUCACUCACUCACUCACUCACUCACUCACUCACCACGACUGACUAGCUGCUCUCUCUCUUUCACCAAGACACACACACACACACACACACACACACACACACACACACACACACACAUACAUACAUACAGGUGUAUGGUGCCAGUCUGAUGUAAUGUCAAGCAAUGGAGCAGUGAUAGACACCAAUUAUCAUCCUAGUUAUUCAUUAUUUUCUGUCUUACAACUUAAUACUCUUUUAAUUGAAUGUCUAUUAAUUGAUGUGCUCCUGAGUCCAUACUUGGUAAUAUAAUCCACCAAGGAGAUGUCAAAGACAAAAGUCUUUAUUAUCUUAAGGAGAGGAGUCUACUGAGAUGUUAAAGUCCCCUGCUCAGUCGGUGUAUCUCGUUAUAAAACGGACAUCCUGUCAAAUGAAAAUGACAACGUAUCAUCAUCCGUAUUAAAAAGGGGUAAAGGAAUUGCUAUUAAAUAAUGAACUCAGCCGUGCUCUUGUUGUAAUGUCAGCCUGCUUAUAUAGGGGGUGUGAUUAUGGUAUUUUAUGAAGCGUCUUCUCAACGAGGAGUAAAAACCAAGCUUCAAGGUUAAAUGUGUGAAGGCCAAGCGUUUGGAGGGUGAGGCGGUGCGAGGGGAGGGUUGAUAAAUUUCACAUCCCGUAAUGUGAUUUGCGAUAUCUCCUCUUCUCCUGCCCUUGGUAGUGGGAGAUGUGGCGAGGUAUUAUUAACGACGCUCUGCCGUGUAAGUGUUUACAGAAAUAUUAAACAGAAUCGAUGAGAGAAGGUGUGGAUGAUUACAAAUUCACCAUCAUUCCAGCUUCCCAGCUUGAUGUUUCGUUACUGAAUACAAAUUCACUGGUUAAACCACUGGUGUGCAGUAGUAAAAAUGAGUGUAGAGAGACACCGCAAACACGUGAGGACCAGGAUGGGCGGUAGUUCCAGGAAGACAUCAGAGAGCAUAAUUCAUUCCAGGGCAUUCUAUAAGACCAGGGUGUGUGUGUGUGUGUGUGUGUGUGUGUGUGUGUGUGAGAAGGCUGUUCAUUGACUACAGCUCAGCGUUCAACACCAUAGUGCCCACGAAGCUCAUCACUAAAGUAAGGACCCUGAGACUAAACACCUCCCUCUGCAACUGGAUCCUGGACUUCCUGACGGGCCACCCCCAGGUGGUAAGAGUAGGCAACAACACGUCUGCCACGCUGAUCCUUAACACUGGAGCCCCUCAGGGGUGUGCACUUAGUCCCCUCCUGUAUUCCCUGUUUACCCACGACUGCGUGGCCAAACACGACUCCAACACCAUCAUUAAGUUUGCUGACGACACAAUAGUGGUAGGCCUGAUCACCGACAACGAUGAGACAGCCUAUAGCGAGGAGGUCAGAGACCUGGCAGUGUGGUGCCAGGACAACAACCUCUCCCUCAACGUGAGCAAGACAAAGGAGCUGAUCAUGGACUACAGGAAAAGGCGGGCCGAACAGGCCCCCAUUAACAUCGACGGGGCUGUAGUGGAGCGGGUCGAGAGUUUCAAGUUCCUUGGUGUCCACAUCACCAACAGACUAUCAUGGUCCAAACACACCAAGACAGUCGUGAAGAGGGCACAGCAAAACCUUUUCCCCCUCAGGAGACUGAAAAGAUUUGGCAUGGGUCCCUAGAUCAUCAAAAGUUUCUACAGUUGCACCAUCGAGAGCAUCCUGACCGGUUGCAUCACUGCCUGGUAUGGCAACUGCUCGGCAUCUGAGCAUAAGGCGCUACAGAGGGUAGUGCGAACGGCCUAGUACAUCACUGGGGCCAAGCUUCCUACCAUCCAGGACCUAUAUACCAGGCGGUGUCAGAGGAAGGCCCAUAAAAUUGUCAGAGACUCCAGUCACCCAAGUCAUAGACUGUUCUCUCUGCUACCGCACGGUAAGCGGUUCCGGAGCGCCAAGUCUAGGUCCGAGAGGCUUCUGAACAGCUUCUGCCCCCCCAAGCCAUAAGACUCCUGAACAGCUAAUCAAAUGGCUACCCUGACUAUUUGCAUUCCCCCCCCUCUCCUCCUGUUUUACACCACUGCUCCUCUCUGUUGUUAUCAUCUAUGCAUAGUCACUUUAAUACGUUUACAUACACCUUAGCCAAAUACAUUUAAACUCCGUUUUUCACAAUUCCUGACAUUUAAUCCUAGUAAAGAAUUCCCUGUUUUAGGUCAGUUAGGAUCACCACUUUAUUUUAAGAAUGGCUAGCUACUAGUACUGUUAGCUAGCCAGAUAGCCACAAAUAAUAGUUAGCUAGCCAGCUACCCACAAAGAAUUGGUAUCUACCUUGCAUAACGUUAGUUUUAGGUCAUAUAGUGUACAUAUACUGUAUCUAGCUGAUAGUUAUGAAGUAAUACGUUUGCUUUUUGUAUAUCUUGUUUGGUCUCUAUUGUUGUCAUUGUCCUGGCUGGAAGAAUGUUCAGUGAAUGGAGAGGUGCAGCGUGAGGUAAUACAGUAGGGGGGAGUGCUGCUCAGCGUGAGGUAAUAUAGUAGGGGGAGUGCUGCUCAGCGUGAGGUAAUACAGUAGGGGGAGUGCUGCUCAGCGUGAGGUAAUAUAGUAGGGGGAGUGCUGCUCAGCGUGAGGUAAUACAGUAGGGGGAGUGCUGCUCAGCGUGAGGUAAUACAGUAGGGGGAGUGCUGCUCAGCGUGAGGUAAUACAGUAGGCGGUGUGCUGCUCGUCGUGAGGUAAUACAGUAGAGGGAGUGCUGCUCGGCGUGAGGUAAUACAGUAGAGGGAGUGCUGCUCAGCGUGAGGUAAUACAGUAGAGGGAGUGCUGCUCGUUCUGAGGUAAUACAGUAGGGGGAGUGCUGCUCGGCGUAAGGUAAUACAGUAGGGGGAGUGCUGCUCGGCGUGAGGUAAUACAGUAUGGGGAGUGCUGCUCAGAGUGAGGUAAUACAGUAUGGGGAGUGCUGCUCAGUGUGAGGUAAUACAGUAGGGGGAGUGCUGCUCGGCGUGAGUUAAUACAAUAGGGGGAGUGCUGCUCAGCGUGGGGUAAUACAGUAGGGGGAGUCCUGCUCAGCGUGAGGUAAUACAGUAGGGAGAGUGCUGCUCAGCGUGAGGUAAUACAGUAGGGGGAGUGCUGCUCAGCGUGAGGUAAUACAGUAGGGGGAGUGCUGCUCAGCGUGAGGUAAUACAGUAGGGGGAGUGCUGCUCAGCGUGAGGUAAUACAGUAGAGGGAGUGCUGCUCAGCGUGAGGUAAUACAGUAGGGGGAGUGCUGCUCAGCGUGAGGUAAUACAGUAGGGGGAGUGCUGCUCAGAGUGAGGUAAUACAGUAUGGGGAGUGCUGCUCAGAGUGAGGUAAUACAGUAUGGGGAGUGCUGCUCGGCGUGAGGUAAUACAGUAGGGGGAGUCCUGCUCAGCGUGAGGUAAUACAGUAGGGAGAGUGCUGCUCAGCGUGAGGUAAUACAGUAGGGGGAGUGCUGCUCAGCGUGAGGUAAUACAGUAGGGGGAGUGCUGCUCAGCGUGAGGUAAUACAGUAGGGGGAGUGCUGCUCAGCGUGAGAUAAUACAGUAGGGGGAGUGCUGCUCAGCGUGAGGUAAUACAGUAGGGGGAGUGCUGCUCAGCGUGAGGUAAUACAGUAGGGGGGAGUGCUGCUCAGCGUGAGGUAAUACAGUAGAGGGAGUGCUGCUCAGCGUGAGGUAAUACAGUAGGGGGAGUGCUGCUCAGCGUGAGGUAAUACAGUAGGGGGAGUGCUGCUCAGCGUGAGGUAAUACAGUAGGGGGAGUGCUGCUCAGCGUGAGAUAAUACAGUAGGGGGAGUGCUGCUCAAAUGGAAUGUUUUAUGUGCUCUCCACACUCUCAUCCUCAGAAGAAGGUACUCAAGAGAACGUACUCAGAGCAUGAGAGUGUGGAGCGUGGUAGUAUGCAUAUUGAGAAACAGACAGAGAUAGACACAGAGUGUGUGUGUGUGUGUGUGUGUGUGUUACUCUGCUCGACCGUCGUUGAUUACUCAUCUGAAUUAGCCAACAGACUACAGGUCACCUUCCUCAUUGACCGACAUGAUAGAUGAUACAACGUUAGUAGUCUGUAUGCCUGUGUGUCAGUGCAUGAUACUGUGUCCAGCACUGCAUGUCAGAGCUCAGUAAUCCAUGCUACGGUUCAGCUGUGUCCAUGAUGCAGUCUCUGUCUCACACACACACACACACACACACACACACACACACACACACACACACACACACACACACACACACACACACACACACACACUCUGUGUCUAUCUCUGGCUGUUUCUCAAUAUGCAUACUACCACGCUCCACACUCUCAUGCUCUGAGUCUGUCCGGCUCCAUAGGGUAGCACAGAGUGUGUGUGUGUGUGUGCGCGUGUGUGUACAGUAGGGAUGGGUUUUUGAAAUAAUUUCACUAUUCGAAUAGUAUCAUGAAUUUUUGUUGGAUACCUGAAAUACAUGUGUUUUUGUAAACAUACGAUUUUUAACCUGAGCACUGCUGCGCGAGGAAAUGAGGCUGGCGUUCGAUUGUUGCAGCUGUGGAGGGGAUGGUAUGUGAGAUGGGAGCGAGCAGACGGAGGGAGAGAGGGAGCAGUAGCCAAAGCAACUCGGCUACAGCCAAAACUAGAUAACUUGCAGCAGCCAACUAGCUAGCUAGGCUAUUUGAGGCUACAGCCAAGACUAGCUAACUUGCAACAGCCAACUAGCUAGCUAGGCUAAUUGAGGCUACAGCCAAGACUAGCUAACUUGCAGCAGCCAACUAGCUAGCUAGGCUAAUUGAGGCUACAGCCAAGACUAGCUUACUUGCAGCAGCCAACUAGCUAGCUAGGCUAAUUGAGGCUACAGACAAGACUAGCUAACUUGCAGCAGCCAACUAGCUAGCUAGGCUAAUUGAGGCUACAGCCAAGACUAGCUAACUUCCAGCAGCCAACUAGCUAGCUAGGCUAAUUGAGGCUACAUGCUGUGCUUUCUCCAUAACCCCAUUCAGAUAAAACCACAGCCUACCUCGUCGUAGUCUACUCCUUCUCAUUUCACUAACUUUUAAAUCAAUAAUUUAAUUACAUCUUGCAUUGUGUUAGAGAACUCUCACUCCUCUUGGUACACAUUGAGCCUCUUUGUCACUUUGAUUUGCCAACAUAAACAAGCUAUACACGUGACGGCUACAAGUCUUUGUUAGGGGGCGCAGGGCUCCCGAGUGGGGCAGUGGUCUAAGGCACUGCAUCUCAGUACUAGAGGCAUCACUACAGACACACCCUGGUUCGAAUCCAGGUUGUAUCACCACCGGCCGUGAUUGGGAGUCCCAUAGGGCGUCGUCCGGGUUUGACUGGUGUAGGCUGUCAUUGUAAAUAAGAAUUUGUUCUUAACUGACUUGCCUAGUUAAAUGAAGGUCAAAUAAAUAAAUAUAUACUGUAUUUAUAGUCCACAUAUUCUAAGUCAGAACAGUCCAGAGCAGUUAAUCUAGUCGGGCAGGCGGGUGUGGGCAGCGAUUGGUUCAAGAGCAUGCAUUUCGUUUUACUUGCAUUUAAGAGCAGUUGGAUACCACGGAAGGAGUGUUGUAUGGCAUUGAAGCUCGUUUGGAGGUUUGUUAGCACAGUGUCCAAAGAAGGGCCAGAUGUAUACAUUAUGGUGACGUCUGCGUAGAGGUGGAUCAAAGAAUCACCCGCACCAAGAGCGACAUCAUUGAUAUAUACAGAGAAGAGAGUCGGCCCGAGAAUUGAACCCUGUGGCACCCCCAUAGAGACUGCCAGAGGUCCAGACAACAGGCCCUCCGAUUUGACACACUGAACUCUGUCUGAGAAGUAGAUAUGAACCACGUGAGGCAGUCAUUUGAGACACCAAGGCUGUUGAGUCUCCUGCUAAGAGUACAGUGAUUGAUAGAGUCGAAAGCCUUGGCCAGGUCGAUGAAGACAGCUGCACAGUACUGUCUUUUAUCGAUGGCGGUUAUGAUAAGGUUUAGGACCUUGAGUAUGGCUGAGGUGCACCCGUGACCAGCUCGGAAACCAGAUUGCAUAGCGGAGAAGGUACGAUGGGAUUCGAAAUGGUCGGUGAUCUGUUUGUUCACUUGGCUUUCGAAGACAUUUGAAAGGCAGGGCAGGAUGAAUAUAGGUCUGUAACAGUUUGGGUCUAGAGUGUCUCCCCUUUGAAGAGGGGGAUGACCGCGGCCGCUUUCCAAUCUUUAUGAAUCUCAGACGGUACGAAAGAGAGGUUGAACAGACUAGUAAUAGGGGUUGCAACAAUGGCGGCGGAUACUUUUAGGAAGAGAGGGUCCAGAUUGUCUAGCCCAGCUGAUUUUUAGGGGUCCAGGUUUUACAGCUCUUUAAGAACAUUUGCUAUCUGGAUUUGGGUGAAGGAGAAGCAGGGGGGGCUUGGGCCAGUAGCUACGGGGGAUGCAGGGCUGUUGGCCGGGGUUGGGGUAGCCAGGUGGAAAGCAUGGCCAGCCGUAGAGAAAUGCUUAUUGAAAUUCUCAAUUAUCAUGGAUUUAUCAGUGGUGACAGUGUUUCCUAUCCUCAGUGCAGUGGGCAGCUGGGAGGAGGUGCUCUUAUGCUCCAUGGACUUUACAGUGUCCCAAAACUUUUGGGAAUUAGUGCUGCAGGAUGCAAAUUUCUGUUUGGAAAAGCUAGCCUUUGCUUUCCUAACUGACUGUGUGUAUUGGUUCCUGACUUCCCUGAAAAGUUUAAUAUUGCGGGGACUAUUAGAAGCUAGUGCAGUACGCCACAGGAUGUUUUUGUGCUGGUGAAGGGCAGUCAAGUCUGGAGUGAACUAAGGGCUAUAUCUGUUCUUAGUUCUACAUUUUUGCUUAUUUAAGAUGGUGAGGAAAGCACUUUUAAAGAACAACCAGGCAUCCUCAACUGACGGGAUGAGGUCAAUAUCCAGUUUGAUUAGAAAGGCCUUCUCGCUGAAUUAUUUUAGGGAGCGUUUGACAGUGAUGAGGGGUGGUCGUUUGACCGCGGACCCAUAACGGAUGCAGGCAAUGAGGGAGUGAUCACUGAGAUCCUGGUUGAAAACAGCAGAGGUGUAUUUAGAGGGCAAGUUGGUCAGGAUGAUAUCUAUGAGGGUGCCCAUGGUUUCGGAUUUGGGGUUGUACCUGGUGGGUUCCUUGAUAAUUUGUGUGAGAUUGAGGGCAUCUAGUUUAGAUUGUAGGAUGGCUGGGGUGUUAAGCAUAUCCCAAUUUAGGUCACCUAGCAGUACGAAUUCUGACGAUAGAUGAGGGGGCAAUCAAUUCACAAAUGGUGUCCAGGGCACAGCUGGGAGCUGAGGCGGGUCUAUAACAAGCGGCAACAGUGAGGGACUUAUUUCUGGAGAGAUGGAUCUUUAAAAGUAGAAGCUCGAACUGUUUGGGCAUAGACCUGGAUAGUAUGACAGAACUCUGCAGGCUAUCUCUGCAGUAGAUUGCAACUCCACCCCCUUUAGCAGUUCUGUCUUGACGGAAAAUGUUGUAAUUGGGGAUGGAAAUUUGAGGAUUUUAGGUUGCCUUCCUAAGCCAGGAUUCCGAAACGUUUAGGACAUCAGGGUUGGCAGAGUGUGCUAAAGCAGUGAAUAAAACAAACUUAGGGAGGAGACUUCUGAUGUUAACAUGCAUGAACCCAAGGCUUAAACUCCAGAGGUGAGGUCUAAUGGCAGCAGAACUACAGUAAACCCCAGAGGUGAGGUCUAAUGGCAGCAGAACUACAGUAAACCCCAGAGGGGAGGUCUAAUGGCAGCAGAACUACAGUAAACCCCAGAGGUGAGGUCUAAUGGCAGCAGAACUACAGUAAACCCCAGAGGUGAGGUCUAAUGGCAGCAGAACUACAGUAAACCCCAGAGGGGAGAUCUAAUGGCAGCAGAAAUACAGUAAACCCCAGAGGUGAGGUCUAAUGGCAGCAGAACUACAGUAAACCCCAGAGGUGAGGUCUAAUGGCAGCAGAACUACAGUAAACCCCAGAGGUGAGGUCUAAUGGCAGCAGAACUACAGUAAACCCCAGAGGUGAGGUCUAAUGGCAGCAGAACUACAGUAAACCCCAGAGGGGAGGUCUAAUGGCAGCAGAACUACAGUAAACCCCAGAGGUGAGGUCUAAUGGCAGCAGAACUACAGUAAACCCCAGAGGUGAGGUCUAAUGGCAGCAGAACUACAGUAAACCCCAGAGGGGAGAUCUAAUGGCAGCAGAAAUACAGUAAACCCCAGAGGUGAGGUCUAAUGGCAGCAGAACUACAGUAAACCCCAGAGAUCCAGAGGUGAGGUCUAAUGGCGGUGGGAGGAGAAUUAGUUUGUUGUAACUUGGCAAGAUGAUUGGCUAUGGUGUGACAUUAACCUCCUCCUGGAUGCUAAUGAAACCAGUUAUGUCCUUGGAGAGUUAUGGAGGAUUAUUUCUCAACCCUCAAUAUCUUCUUUUCUCCUCCCUUCUUCUCCCUCCUCUUCACCCUCUUUUCCUUUCCUCCCUCUCCUCUCCUCUCCUCCCCCUCAUCUCCUCUCCUCCCCCUCAUCUCCUCUCCUCCCCCCUCAUCUCCUCUCCUCCCCCCUCAUCUCCUCUCCUCUCCUCCCCCCUCAUCUCCUCUCCUCCCUCCCCUCCUCCUCUCCUCUCCUCCCUCCCCCUCAUCUCCUCUCCUCUCCUCCCUUCUCUCCCCUUUUCUCCUGUCCUCCAAUAACAG
RNAcentral lists this long non-coding RNA (15852 nucleotides) under Salmo salar (Atlantic salmon). RNAcentral describes it as "lncRNA (ENSSSAG00000085585.1)". The record is from RNAcentral. Lineage: Eukaryota; Metazoa; Chordata; Actinopteri; Salmoniformes; Salmonidae.